AUUAAUUAGUUGUCAAUUUUGUUUUAGCUUAAAUCGAAAUUUGGAUACAAAAAAAUAAAACACAAUUUUUUGGAAAAAAGAAAGUAUGAGAGACAUGACAAAAUGAUUGAUAGCUGGCUGGUUUUUUGAACAGAAAAGAAUUGAACGAAUUUUGAAGACGAAUCAUGUAGCAUUAAAAGACAUGCCGCAAAAAGAACAACAUUGAACAAAAUUAGUAGAUAUUCAAAAAAUUUUCAAUUUUGCAAGCGAAAAUUUCACAAGGGAAAAAAAGGAAAAUUGAAAAACCAAAAGAGUUGAAACGUACCUGGAGUCGGUGUUAUGUGGCCGGUUGAUGAGGGCCGUGAAUUCGGCAUGACCAGAUGCUGUUGCGAAUGACUUAGGACGCUCAAAUUGGUGGCCUGCUCUGCGCUUCCGUUCGUUCCACCUCCGCCACCGCCGCCGCCAGGCGCUCCAGUUAAUAUGCUGGCGUUGUUCAAGUGUGUGAUAACAUUCGCUGCACUAAGUGAGCCACCUGCACCACCUGCGGCACCUCCGUUGGCUGAGGCAUUGCUGCUGGUGCUGCUGCUGCUGGAACCGCUGCCCGUUGAGCCGUUGCUGUUAUGCUGAUUGUGUCCGCCGCUGGCGGAGAGAUCGCGUGGCGGCGACUGUGGCUCCGCCUUGACCUUGAUGGGGACGGGUGAGCUGGCGGGCGGCGGUGUGCUAUUCGAGACAGCCAAGUGCGAUAGACUGCAAGGCAGAUUAUGAUGUUGGUCGCCGUUAAGUGUUUGCCUGCUGGGACUGCUGCUGCUGCUAUUCGCCGGGCUCGGGGCCUGGACUACCCACCUAGUGUGCUGCUGGACGAGACCCGAAUGCCACUGCGGCAGGCUCAUAAUGUCCGCGCUCAUCGCCCCCGACGACGAGAAAUCCUGCGCCCCAAACGAGUAGCUGGUCAGCGCGGGCAUCGGUGUCUGCAGCGUCACCACUGGCGUGUUCAGCGACGUCUGGCUCUGACGCUGCUGCAAUGCAAAGCACAGAGAUGAGGGAUUUCAUUUGAUGGAGGAUAAAAGUUAAACUUAGUCAACUAAUCU
Molecule: long non-coding RNA, 1067 nt
Organism: Drosophila sulfurigaster albostrigata
Lineage: Eukaryota; Metazoa; Arthropoda; Insecta; Diptera; Drosophilidae
Exons: 2
Source: RefSeq, a predicted model, not a curated record